GACGAACGCUGGCGGCGUGCCUAAUACAUGCAAGUAGAACGCUGAAGAGAGGAGCUUGCUCUUCUUGGAUGAGUUGCGAACGGGUGAGUAACGCGUAGGUAACCUGCCUUGUAGCGGGGGAUAACUAUUGGAAACGAUAGCUAAUACCGCAUAACAAUGGAUGACACAUGUCAUUUAUUUGAAAGGGGCAAUUGCUCCACUACAAGAUGGACCUGCGUUGUAUUAGCUAGUAGGUGAGGUAAUGGCUCACCUAGGCGACGAUACAUAGCCGACCUGAGAGGGUGAUCGGCCAAACUGGGACUGAGACACGGCCCAGACUCCUACGGGAGGCAGCAGUAGGGAAUCUUCGGCAAUGGGGGCAACCCUGACCGAGCAACGCCGCGUGAGUGAAGAAGGUUUUCGAAUCGUAAAGCUCUGUUGUAAGUCAAGAACGGGUGUGAGAGUGGAAAGUUCACACUGUGACGGUAGCUUAACAGAAAGGGACGGCUAACUACGUG
RNAcentral lists this ribosomal RNA (497 nucleotides) under uncultured bacterium. RNAcentral describes it as "partial 16S ribosomal RNA". It matches the Rfam family "Bacterial small subunit ribosomal RNA", at positions 28 to 507 of the family's 1533-position model. The record is from RNAcentral.